GCGUCGGUGGCUCAGGGGUUAAGCACUUGACUUGUAAUCUAGAGUCCCUGGGUUCAAAUCCCGCGAUGUA
Molecule: transfer RNA, 70 nt
Filed under: Papilio machaon (common yellow swallowtail)
Lineage: Eukaryota; Metazoa; Arthropoda; Insecta; Lepidoptera; Papilionidae
Rfam family: tRNA
About the family: Transfer RNA (tRNA) molecules are approximately 80 nucleotides in length. Their secondary structure includes four short double-helical elements and three loops (D, anti-codon, and T loops).
Source: Rfam by way of RNAcentral